RNAcentral lists this transfer RNA (96 nucleotides) under Polymorphospora rubra. Its description in RNAcentral is "tRNA-Arg". The record is from RNAcentral. Lineage: Bacteria; Bacillati; Actinomycetota; Actinomycetes; Micromonosporales; Micromonosporaceae.
CGGGCUCCAGACGGUGCGGCGGCGCUCGGUCGACUCGCGGUGUUGGCUGGCCCCGCCUCCGGCGGGGCUGGCUCGCUCCGCUUCGCGCCGGCCUGU